RNAcentral lists this long non-coding RNA (1006 nucleotides) under Triticum aestivum (bread wheat). RNAcentral describes it as "long non-coding RNA (TAES_LNC027979)". Lineage: Eukaryota; Viridiplantae; Streptophyta; Magnoliopsida; Poales; Poaceae. The record is from RNAcentral.
AGGUUCGAGCUCUUCUCGGGCUCGGCCGACGCCUUUUCUCUAAAAAAACAACCCUAGCUAGCAUGUACACAGUACACGCUAAACAAAAAAGGUUGUUUAUAGUAGAGUAAAAAAUGUGUCGAACAAAGUAAAAACGUUCAUUUUCCUGUGCAGUAAAAGUAGAGCACCUGCCCGGCAAAAAUUAUGUUGAGAACUGAAUCUACAAAAACCAGGUAACAACAGCAGCAUAUUGUGUCCGAUAAUUGUAUCUUGUCAUCACUAAAAUAACAUCAGUACCAGGUAACUAGGUAAGACCAUACAAUGAUCUCCAACAGAUACAGUAGUAACAGGACAUCUGUUUUCACUAGUGAGCAUACUGUAGUAGCAAGAGACACUCCCAACAGCCAGAAUGUUCACCAAAGUAAGCUCUUCAGCUAACAUUUAGGCCAAUAAUUGUAACUCGGUGCAUCAUUCCUUGUGGUGGAUAUGUUGGACUGCUAUCAAAAGGGUGGUGGUGGUGAGCCGCCUGGGCCUGGGGGUCCAAACAACGGGCCACAGCAAUCUUGGAGCAGGCAGCAACAACAAAGGAGGUAGAAGCUGCACAAGAAGUAUUCUUCAUGAGUUUUCAGAGAAUAAAAGCUAUCUGUUUCAAACAGAAAAAAAAUUUAAAAGGAAGAAAGCUAAACGACUAAUGUAUGCUCCGCAACUAUAUAUUGCAAUUUGAUUUAGUUGACCCCUAAACCACUAACCAUCAAACUGAAUGAAUUGCUUUCUGUUUUCUUUUCGAGAUGUUAACUUGGUAAUAAAUUGAUAAUUUGCUGGCAAAAAUGCAUAGUUUAAAUUUCUGUUCGUAGCUGAGGUUUCAACUUACCAGGAUGCGAAAAAGCCACCAAACCAAGGCCCCCAAGAACCAGGGCCAGAGCCACCCCAACCUGGUCCUCCAGGCUCAUGAGGAUCCAUUCCACCAACACAGAAACAACUGGUUAAUACAGACUAAAGCUUCACAUCAAGAACUCAACCACGACAC